CCUACGGGGGGCAGCAGUGAGGAAUAUUGGUCAAUGGACGAGAGUCUGAACCAGCCAAGUAGCGUGAAGGAAGACUGCCCUAUGGGUUGUAAACUUCUUUUAUAUGGGGAUAAACCCGGGUAUGCAUAACCGCUUGUAUGUACCAUAUGAAUAAGGAUCGGCUAACUCCGUGCCAGCAGCCGCGGUAAUACGGAGGAUCCGAGCGUUAUCCGGAUUUAUUGGGUUUAAAGGGAGCGUAGGUGGAUUGUUAAGUCAGUUGUGAAAUUUUGCGGCUCAACCGUAAAAUUGCAGGUGACACUGGCGAGCUUGAGUACAGGAGAGGUAGGCGGAAUUCGUGGUGUAGCGGUGAAAUGCUUAGAUAUCACGAAGAACCCCGAUUGCGAAGGCAGCUCACUGAACUGCAACUGACACUGAUGCUCGAAAGUGUGGGUAUCAAACAGGAUUAGAUACCCGAGUAGUC
Molecule: ribosomal RNA, 460 nt
Filed under: uncultured bacterium
Lineage: Bacteria
Description: partial 16S ribosomal RNA
Rfam family: Bacterial small subunit ribosomal RNA
Source: RNAcentral